RNAcentral lists this ribosomal RNA (253 nucleotides) under uncultured bacterium. RNAcentral describes it as "partial 16S ribosomal RNA". It matches the Rfam family "Bacterial small subunit ribosomal RNA", at positions 524 to 776 of the family's 1533-position model. The record is from RNAcentral.
UACGGGGGGGGCAAGCGUUGUUCGGAAUUACUGGGCGUAAAGGGCGCGUAGGCGGUUCGAUAAGUCAGCUGUGAAAACCACGGGCUUAACUCGUGGCCUGCAGUUGAAACUGUCUGGCUUGAGUGUGGGAGAGGAGAGUGGAAUUCCUUGUGUAGCGGUGAAAUGCGUAGAUAUCAGGAGGAACACCGGUGGCGAAGGCGGCUCUCUGGACCACAACUGACGCUGAGGCGCGAAAGCUAGGGGAGCAAACAGG